This 253-nucleotide ribosomal RNA is filed under the name uncultured bacterium. RNAcentral's name for it is "partial 16S ribosomal RNA". It matches the Rfam family "Bacterial small subunit ribosomal RNA", at positions 524 to 776 of the family's 1533-position model. The record is from RNAcentral.
UACAGAGGUCCCAAGCGUUGUUCGGAUUCACUGGGCGUAAAGGGUGCGUAGGCGGUCGGGUAAGUCUGAUGUGAAAUCUCACAGCUUAACUGUGAAACUGCAUUGGAUACUAUCCGGCUCGAGGAAUGGAGGGGAGACUGGAAUACUUGGUGUAGCAGUGAAAUGCGUAGAUAUCAGUCGGAACACCGGUGGCGAAGGCGGCUUCUUGGGCCGUUUCUGACGCUGAGGCGCGAAAGCCAGGGGAGCGAACGGG